This 410-nucleotide ribosomal RNA is filed under the name uncultured bacterium. RNAcentral's name for it is "bacterial SSU rRNA". It matches the Rfam family "Bacterial small subunit ribosomal RNA", at positions 362 to 770 of the family's 1533-position model. The record is from RNAcentral.
UAUUGGUCAAUGGCCGAGAGGCUGAACCAGCCAAGUCGCGUGAGGGAAGACGGCCCUACGGGUUGUAAACCUCUUUUGUCGGGGAGCAAAGCGAACCACGUGUGGUUCAUUGAGAGUACCCGAAGAAAAAGCAUCGGCUAACUCCGUGCCAGCAGCCGCGGUAAUACGGAGGAUGCGAGCGUUAUCCGGAUUUAUUGGGUUUAAAGGGUGCGCAGGCGGUCUGUUAAGUCAGCGGUCAAAGCCCGGGGCUCAACCCCGGCCCGCCGUUGAAACUGGCAGUCUCGAGUUGGAGAGAAGUAUGCGGAAUGCGCGGUGUAGCGGUGAAAUGCAUAGAUAUCGCGCAGAACUCCGAUUGCGAAGGCAGCAUGCCGGCUCCACACUGACGCUGAGGCACGAAAGCGUGGGUAUCG